This 605-nucleotide long non-coding RNA is filed under the name Lactuca sativa (garden lettuce). RNAcentral describes it as "long non-coding RNA (LSAT_LNC007486)". The record is from RNAcentral. Lineage: Eukaryota; Viridiplantae; Streptophyta; Magnoliopsida; Asterales; Asteraceae.
AAAACGUAUCCAUAAAAAAAUAUUAAUUUGCAACUACUCUAUAAUAACAGGUUUGUCUAUACUUGCUCUGGUCCCAUCUUUCGGAGUUUUAUCUACUUUCAAUUUAAGUUUUAACUCAAUUUCUGAUUUUUUUUCUUAAUUUUAUAGAUCCCUUUGGUGGUUUAUUUAUUUAUUUCUGACUCAAAAUCUUGGUUUUUUAUCUGCAAAACAAAAUUCCAAUAUUAUUUUAAUAAAUUACCAUAAAAAUAAAAUAAAAUAUUUAUUAGAAAUUUUUGUAAUUCGAUUUUACCAGGCACAAUUCUGAAAGUUCCUGUAAAUGGAAAACAAUUUCUUCGUCCGUAAAACCCAUUUUUUUUAACAACAUCCACACAAAAUUGGUCUUGAAACUAAUACAGGUUAUUAAACAAUAUCAGACACAAAAAAUAAUGAAUUUUUAUUCUAGAACAUCAUUCGAGAAUUGAUCUUCGUAUUCCAGAUGUACACUAUCAUUCCACAUUCCCUGGUAGACUUAUUUCCUCAUUAAAAUACUCAUCUUAAACACACUUUAAGAUACUUUAACAACAUCCACACAAAAUUGGUCUUGAAACUAAUACAGGUUAUUAAAC